UACGAAGGGUGCAAGCGUUAUCCGGAUUCAUUGGGUUUAAAGGGUGUGUAGGCGGGGCAAUAAGUCAGUGGUGAAAUCCUGCGGCUUAACCGUAGAAUUGCCAUUGAUACUGUUGCUCUUGAGUAGGCUCGACGUGGGCGGAAUGUGCCGUGUAGCGGUGAAAUGCGUAGAUAUCUGGAGGAAUACCGGUGGCGAAGGCGGCAUCCUGGACCGGCAUUGACGCUGAUGAGCGAAAGCUAGGGGAGCAAACGGG
Molecule: ribosomal RNA, 253 nt
Filed under: uncultured bacterium
Lineage: Bacteria
Description: partial 16S ribosomal RNA
Rfam family: Bacterial small subunit ribosomal RNA
Source: RNAcentral